CCUACGGGAGGCUGCAGUGGGGGAUAUUGGACAAUGGGGGGAACCCUGAUCCAGCGACGCCGCGUGAGUGAAGAAGUAUUUCGGUAUUUAAAGCUCUUUCAGCAGGGAAGAAAUAAAUGACGGUACCUGACCAAGCAGCCCCUGCUAACUACGUGCCAGCCGCCGCGGUAAGACGUAGGGGGAAAGCGUUAUCCGGAAUUACUGGGUGUAAAGGGAGCGUAGACGGUUAAGUAAGGCUGUAGAGAAAGGCCGGGGCCCAACCCCGGGACUGCAGUGGAUACUAUUGAACUUGAGUGCAGGAGAGGUAAGCGGAAUUCCUAGUGUAGCGGUGAAAUGCGUAGAUAUUAGGAGGAACACCAGUGGCGAAGGCGGCUUACUGGACUGUAACUGACGUUGAGGCACGAAAGCGUGGGGAGCAAACAGGAUUAGAUACCCGAGUAGUC
RNAcentral lists this ribosomal RNA (443 nucleotides) under uncultured bacterium. Its description in RNAcentral is "partial 16S ribosomal RNA". It matches the Rfam family "Bacterial small subunit ribosomal RNA", at positions 338 to 795 of the family's 1533-position model. The record is from RNAcentral.